Molecule: ribosomal RNA, 422 nt
Filed under: uncultured bacterium
Lineage: Bacteria
Description: bacterial SSU rRNA
Rfam family: Bacterial small subunit ribosomal RNA
Source: RNAcentral
GAUGAACGCUGGCGGCGUGCUUAGCACAUGCAAGUCGAACGGGAUCCCAGGAGCUUGCUCCUGGGUGAGAGUGGCGAACGGGUGAGUAAUGCGUGACCGACCUGCCCCAUACACCGGAAUAGCUCCUGGAAACGGGUGGUAAUGCCGGAUGCUCCAGUUGGAUGCAUGUCCUUCUGGGAAAGAUUCUAUCGGUAUGGGAUGGGGUCGCGUCCUAUCAGCUUGAUGGCGGGGUAACGGCCCACCAUGGCUUCGACGGGUAGCCGGCCUGAGAGGGCGACCGGCCACAUUGGGACUGAGAUACGGCCCAGACUCCUACGGGAGGCAGCAGUGGGGAAUAUUGCACAAUGGGCGCAAGCCUGAUGCAGCGACGCCGCGUGCGGGAUGACGGCCUUCGGGUUGUAAACCGCUUUUGACUGGGAGCA